Molecule: unclassified non-coding RNA, 377 nt
Filed under: uncultured Parachlamydiaceae bacterium
Lineage: Bacteria; Pseudomonadati; Chlamydiota; Chlamydiia; Parachlamydiales; Parachlamydiaceae
Description: contains 16S-23S intergenic spacer region
Source: RNAcentral
UCCUGGUUAACCCAGGCAGUCUCAUUAGAGUUCCCACCUUAUAUGUUGGCAACUAAUGAUAAGGGUUGCGCUCGUUGCGGGACUUAACCCAACACCUCACGGCACGAGCUGACGACAGCCAUGCAGCACCUGUGCAAAGGCCCCGAAGGGAGGCUCUAUCUCUAAAGCUGUCCUCUGCAUGUCAAGCCUGGGUAAGGUUCUUCGCGUUGCAUCGAAUUAAACCACAUGCUCCACUGCUUGUGCGGGUCCCCGUCAAUUCUUUUGAGUUUCACCCUUGCGAGCGUACUCCUCAGGCGGUAUACUUAUCGCGUUAGCUUCGGCACAACCAGGGUUGAGUCCGGUUACACCAAGUAUACAUAGUUUACGGCAAGGACUAC